AGAGUUUGAUCCUGGAUAAAACGGAAGCUGGCGGCGCGUUUUAAGCAUGCAAGUCCAUUAAAAAAGGGCCUUCGGGCCCCUAGAGCGGCGGACGGGUGAGUAACACGUGGACAAUCUGCCCCCCGGCCCGGGAUAGCCCAGGGAAACCUGGAUUAAUACCGGAUGAGACGGGACCCGCGAUGGCGGGACCCGGGAAAGGCGCUGCGGCGCCGCCGGGGGAUGAGUCUGCGUCCCAUUAGCUAGACGGCGGGGUAACGGCCCACCGUGGCGACGAUGGGUAGCCGGCCUGAGAGGGUGGACGGCCACAUUGGAACUGAGACACGGUCCAGACUCCUACGGGAGGCAGCAGCUAAUAAUCUUCCGCAAUGGGCGAAAGCCUGACGGAGCGACGCCGCGUGAACGAAGAAGGCCGUGAGGUUGUAAAGUUCUUUUCGGGAGGGGGAACAACCGUGGCAGGGAAUGGCCGCGGGAUGACGUGAAUCCCGGAAUAAGCCCCGGCUAACUACGUGCCAGCA
RNAcentral lists this ribosomal RNA (515 nucleotides) under bacterium enrichment culture clone 41. RNAcentral describes it as "bacterial SSU rRNA". It matches the Rfam family "Bacterial small subunit ribosomal RNA", at positions 1 to 513 of the family's 1533-position model. The record is from RNAcentral.